UACGUAGGGGGCAAGCGUUGUCCGGAAUCAUUGGGCGUAAAGCGCGUGUAGGCGGCUGAGUAAGUCUGCUCUGAAAGCCCGGGGCGUCAACCCCGGGACGGCGGGUGGAUACUGCUCAGCUCGAGUCCGGAAGAGGAGUGUGGAAUUCCUGAUGUAGACGGUGAAAUGCGCAGAUAUCAGGAGGAACACCAAUGGCGAAGGCAGCACUCUGGGACGGU
This 218-nucleotide ribosomal RNA is filed under the name uncultured bacterium. RNAcentral describes it as "partial 16S ribosomal RNA". It matches the Rfam family "Bacterial small subunit ribosomal RNA", at positions 524 to 738 of the family's 1533-position model. The record is from RNAcentral.